Molecule: ribosomal RNA, 718 nt
Filed under: Flavobacteria bacterium IMCC15303
Lineage: Bacteria; Pseudomonadati; Bacteroidota; Flavobacteriia
Description: bacterial SSU rRNA
Rfam family: Bacterial small subunit ribosomal RNA
Source: RNAcentral
CUGCGGCAGGCCUAACACAUGCAAGUCGAGGGGUAACAUUGGUGCUUGCACCAGAUGACGACCGGCGCACGGGUGCGUAACGCGUAUACAAUCUACCUUUUGCUAAGGGAUAGCCCAGAGAAAUUUGGAUUAAUACCUUAUAGUAUGCAGACUUCUCAUGGAGAUUGCAUUAAAGAUUACGGCAAAAGAUGAGUAUGCGUCCUAUUAGUUUGUUGGUGUGGUAACGGCACACCAAGACUACGAUAGGUAGGGGCCCUGAGAGGGGGAUCCCCCACACUGGUACUGAGACACGGACCAGACUCCUACGGGAGGCAGCAGUGAGGAAUAUUGGACAAUGGAGGCAACUCUGAUCCAGCCAUGCCGCGUGCAGGAAGACUGCCCUAUGGGUUGUAAACUGCUUUUAUACAGGAAGAAACACUCCCUCGUGAGGGAGCUUGACGGUACUGUAAGAAUAAGGAUCGGCUAACUCCGUGCCAGCAGCCGCGGUAAUACGGAGGAUCCAAGCGUUAUCCGGAAUCAUUGGGUUUAAAGGGUCCGUAGGUGGAUAAUUAAGUCAGAGGUGAAAGUUUGCAGCUCAACUGUAAAAUUGCCUUUGAUACUGGUUAUCUUGAGUUAUUGUGAAGUAGUUAGAAUAUGUAGUGUAGCGGUGAAAUGCAUAGAUAUUACAUAGAAUACCAAUUGCGAAGGCAGAUUACUAACAAUAUACUGACACUGAUGA